CGGGUGAGUAACGCGUGAGGAACCUGCCUCAAAGAGGGGGACAACAGUUGGAAACGACUGCUAAUACCGCAUAAGCCCACGGCUCGGCAUCGAGCAGAGGGAAAAGGAGUGAUCCGCUUUGAGAUGGCCUCGCGUCCGAUUAGCUAGUUGGUGAGGUAACGGCCCACCAAGGCGACGAUCGGCAGCCGGACUGAGAGGUUGAACGGCCACAUUGGGACUGAGACACGGCCCAG
This 233-nucleotide ribosomal RNA is filed under the name uncultured bacterium. RNAcentral describes it as "partial 16S ribosomal RNA". It matches the Rfam family "Bacterial small subunit ribosomal RNA", at positions 103 to 334 of the family's 1533-position model. The record is from RNAcentral.